Molecule: ribosomal RNA, 425 nt
Filed under: uncultured bacterium
Lineage: Bacteria
Description: partial 16S ribosomal RNA
Rfam family: Bacterial small subunit ribosomal RNA
Source: RNAcentral
GUGGGGAAUAUUGGACAAUGGGCGCAAGCCUGAUCCAGCCAUGCCGCGUGAGUGAUGAAGGCCUUAGGGUUGUAAAGCUCUUUCAGUGGGGACGAUAAUGACGGUACCCACAGAAGAAGCCCCGGCUAACUUCGUGCCAGCAGCCGCGGUAAUACGAAGGGGGCUAGCGUUGUUCGGAUUUACUGGGCGUAAAGCGCACGUAGGCGGAAUGUUAAGGCAGAGGUGAAAUCCUGGAGCUCAACUCCAGAACUGCCUUUGAUACUGGCAAUCUCGAGUCCGGAAGAGGUGAGUGGAACUCCUAGUGUAGAGGUGGAAUUCGUAGAUAUUAGGAAGAACACCAGUGGCGAAGGCGGCUCACUGGUCCGGUACUGACGCUGAGGUGCGAAAGCGUGGGGAGCAAACAGGAUUAGAAACCCGAGUAGUCC